This 497-nucleotide ribosomal RNA is filed under the name uncultured bacterium. RNAcentral describes it as "partial 16S ribosomal RNA". It matches the Rfam family "Bacterial small subunit ribosomal RNA", at positions 28 to 507 of the family's 1533-position model. The record is from RNAcentral.
GAUGAACGCUGGCGGCGUGCCUAAUACAUGCAAGUCGAGCGAACGGACGAUAAGCUUGCUUCUCUGAUGUUUGCGGCGGACGGGUGAGUAACACGUGGAUAACCCACCUAUAUGUCUGGGAUAACCUCGGGAAACCGGAUCUUAUACCGGAUAAUAUUUUGAACCGCAUGGUUCAAAAGUGAAAGACGGCCUUGCUGUCACUUAUAGAUGCAUCCGGGCUGCAUUAGCUAGUUGGUAAGGUAACGGCUUACCAAGGCAACGAUGCGUAGCCGACCUGAGAGGGGGAUCGGCCACACGAGAACGGAAACACGGACCAGACUCCUGCGAGAGGCAGCAGUAGGGAAUCUGACGCAAUGGGCGAAAGCCUGACGGAGCAACGCCGCGUGAGUGAUGAAGGUCUUCGGAUCGUAAAACUCUGUUAUUAGGGAAGAACAUAUGUGUAAGUAAAUGUGCACAUCUUGACGGUACCUAAUCAGAAAGCCACGGCUAACUACGUG